Gorilla gorilla gorilla (western lowland gorilla) is the source of this 117-nucleotide non-coding RNA. It matches the Rfam family "Metazoan signal recognition particle RNA". Rfam says of the family: The signal recognition particle (SRP) is a universally conserved ribonucleoprotein. It is involved in the co-translational targeting of proteins to membranes. The eukaryotic SRP consists of a 300-nucleotide 7S RNA and six proteins: SRPs 72, 68, 54, 19, 14, and 9. The record is from Rfam. Lineage: Eukaryota; Metazoa; Chordata; Mammalia; Primates; Hominidae.
GCUGGGUGUGAUGGCUCACACCUGUAAUCCUAGCACUUUGGGAGGCCGAGGUGGGAGAAUUGCUUGAGCCCAGGUGUUCCGGACCAGCCUGGGCAAUAUAGCAAGACCCUAUCUCUU